CAGCCACAUCACAUUGAAACACCAGUUCCCAUAUGAUCACUAAAGUUAAGCAACAUCAAGCCUGGUCAGUACCUAGAUCAGUGACCACUUGGGAAUACUGGGUGUGGUAAG
Non-coding RNA from Acanthosepion pharaonis, 111 nucleotides. The record is from the annotation of a GenBank genome assembly. NCBI's taxonomy places the organism in Eukaryota, Metazoa, Mollusca, Cephalopoda, Sepiida, Sepiidae.